AGGAUGCAGCAUUCAAGGUUCUAUCUUGGAAGCAGAGACUGUGCCCUCACCAGAUGCUGAACCUGCUGAGCACCCUGAUCUUCCACUUCACCUUCAUCAGAACUAGAUGGAGUUUCACCGUGUUAGCCAGGAUGGUCUUGAUCUCCUGACCUCGUGAUCCGCCUGCCUUGGCCUCCCAAAGUGCUGGGAUUACAGACUGUUUGCUGUGAUUGCACCUGCCAUCUUAUGCAGAAAUGACCUGAAGACAGAUUGAAACAACGUGUUCUACAGCCUGAAAAUAUCUACCUUGACUUACAGUUUUAUUAAUGCUGGUGUGAUCAGACUGGACAAAAAUUAGCAUAUGUUAUUAACUAAUCUAAUUCAAAUGCCAAUUCUUAAUAGAAACACAAAACAAUAAAAGCAAUUCAGAAAAUA
Molecule: long non-coding RNA, 414 nt
Filed under: Pan troglodytes (chimpanzee)
Lineage: Eukaryota; Metazoa; Chordata; Mammalia; Primates; Hominidae
Description: lincRNA
Source: RNAcentral